Phyllopteryx taeniolatus (common seadragon) is the source of this 657-nucleotide long non-coding RNA. RefSeq lists it as uncharacterized. Lineage: Eukaryota; Metazoa; Chordata; Actinopteri; Syngnathiformes; Syngnathidae. The record is from RefSeq and is a predicted model, not a curated record. The transcript is spliced from 2 exons.
AUCUUUGCGCCCCGUUUGGUUUUCGCUUCCUCCUUCCUGCCUCUGCUUUCGGUCACCUCGUCGCAGGAAACGAAAGCGCACAAUUCAGAUCCAGUGCAGUCGAACCAAAGUUACUUCUUAAGUCCGCACACGGCCGUGAGUUAGGGUAUGACUGCAGAUACUAACGCAAAUUUCGAUGCACAGCAUGGACGAGAAGACCAGGCUGUCAGUCUCCGCUCUAAUUCACCAAAGUGUUCUAUAGGGUUGAGGUCAGGAUUGUCCAGGCCAGUCAAGUUCAUCCACAUCAAAUUCUCUCAUCUGCGUCUUUAUCAACCUUGAUUUGUGCACUGAUGCACAGACAUGUUGGAACAGGAAGGGGCCAUCUCCAAACUAGCAGUAUAAAUGUAACACAGGAUACAAAAAAAGAGCAUCAGUCUGCACAUCUUUAUUUUUUUCAGUUAUUAAUGCACGAUUUGUCUGGAGCACAGAAAAUACAUUUCUAACAUUUUAUUGGACAGCACAGGUUUGGAAACUGAGAGAAGGUGUUGCCAGACACUUUUCUGUGUGAAAACGGCAUGUCGUCGUCAUGGGUACAUACAGGAAUUGCACAAGAUUCGUUUUAAAGACCUUAUAUCCACCACCACUUGUGCCCCACCCCCUCCCUUAAAAUAAAAACCC